Molecule: long non-coding RNA, 859 nt
Organism: Quercus robur (English oak)
Lineage: Eukaryota; Viridiplantae; Streptophyta; Magnoliopsida; Fagales; Fagaceae
Exons: 4
Source: RefSeq, a predicted model, not a curated record
AGUGGAGGUGGUCACGAGGAUGACGAUGUCUUGGAUGAUGAGGCGUUGGAGGGCGACUGGGGCAUGUACAUGGAUGGUGUCGGGUCAUCGCGAUGCACGUCUGACGCUGCUGCCCAGCCAUCCCACCCCCCUGGCCAUGAGAAUAGUGCAGAACACACAUCCUGUGCCCAAGCUGGCCCUCGGUCCCCACCACCCACUCGGCUGUCUCCCCCAUUGUUUGCCGACUCUGCCCACAACGGUGGGUGUAUAUUUGUACCCACCCCUGGCUGAUCGACACCACCUGUAGUUCAAGUUGAGCCCACCUAGGACCCUUCACUUCCUAACCAUGACGAACCGGCUGCACAGAUCGAACAGAUACAGGGUAAGACGAGACCGGCGAAGGCAGUUGUGAGGAAACGAAAAGAUCGUUGAGCCGUUGAUGAUGUGGAGCAUAUGGGGUAGUUGGACGACAUCUUAUUGUUCAUGUAACAGCUAGCGGAUAAAACUUUGACAACAUUUUUUGGACAUAAAAGACUGACAGAUUUUUGGAGAGCAUACAUGACAGCAGAUUUUUGGAGGGCAUAUAUGUUAACAGCUGAUUUUUUGGAUAUGUUAGACACAGCUUUUGGAACAUAUUUUGUAACUAAUGAAGCUACUUAAGCAUGUUUAUGACGUACAUGAAUAUUUGAGUCAGCUUCGAGUUAGGUACCAAUUAUACCAAUUAUAUUUGCAAAGGGUGGAUAUUUUCAUGUGCGAUGGAAAAGUUCAUUUCUAGAUUUUUGUAUCUAUGUAUCUGCAUAUUUGAACAAAGGCAGCUUUAGACGAAUGCAAUAUAGUGAUGAUGGAUGGAGAUCCCACAACUGAAGAAGUUUAAUUUAUA